Molecule: ribosomal RNA, 1160 nt
Filed under: uncultured Bacteroides sp.
Lineage: Bacteria; Pseudomonadati; Bacteroidota; Bacteroidia; Bacteroidales; Bacteroidaceae
Description: bacterial SSU rRNA
Rfam family: Bacterial small subunit ribosomal RNA
Source: RNAcentral
AUGCAGUCGAGGGGCAUCGGGAAGAAAGCUUGCUUUCUUUGCCGGCGACCGGCGCACGGGUGAGUAACACGUAUCCAACCUGCCCUUUACUCGGGGAUAGCCUUUCGAAAGAAAGAUUAAUACCCGAUGGCAUAAUGAUUCCGCAUGGUUUCAUUAUUAAAGGAUUCCGGUAAAGGAUGGGGAUGCGUUCCAUUAGGUUGUUGGUGAGGUAACGGCCCACCAAGCCUUCGAUGGAUAGGGGUUCUGAGAGGAAGGUCCCCCACAUUGGAACUGAGACACGGUCCAAACUCCUACGGGAGGCAGCAGUGAGGAAUAUUGGUCAAUGGGCGCUAGCCUGAACCAGCCAAGUAGCGUGAAGGAUGAAGGCUCUAUGGGUCGUAAACUUCUUUUAUAUAAGAAUAAAGUGCAGUAUGUAUACUGUUUUGUAUGUAUUAUAUGAAUAAGGAUCGGCUAACUCCGUGCCAGCAGCCGCGGUAAUACGGAGGAUCCGAGCGUUAUCCGGAUUUAUUGGGUUUAAAGGGAGCGUAGGUGGACUGGUAAGUCAGUUGUGAAAGUUUGCGGCUCAACCGUAAAAUUGCAGUUGAUACUGUCAGUCUUGAGUACAGUAGAGGUGGGCGGAAUUCGUGGUGUAGCGGUGAAAUGCUUAGAUAUCACGAAGAACUCCGAUUGCGAAGGCAGCUCACUGGACUGCAACUGACACUGAUGCUCGAAAGUGUGGGUAUCAAACAGGAUUAGAUACCCUGGUAGUCCACACAGUAAACGAUGAAUACUCGCUGUUUGCGAUAUACAGUAAGCGGCCAAGCGAAAGCAUUAAGUAUUCCACCUGGGGAGUACGCCGGCAACGGUGAAACUCAAAGGAAUUGACGGGGGCCCGCACAAGCGGAGGAACAUGUGGUUUAAUUCGAUGAUACGCGAGGAACCUUACCCGGGCUUAAAUUGCAGUGGAAUGAUGUGGAAACAUGUCAGUGAGCAAUCACCGCUGUGAANGUGCUGCAUGGUUGUCGUCAGCUCGUGCCCNGGNGUGUCGGCUUAAUUGCCNNAACGAGCGCAACCCUUAUCUUCGUUACUAACAGGUCAUGCUUAAGACUCUGGAGAGACUGCCUNCUAAAAUUUAGAAAAGGUGGGGGAAAGANAAANUAAACCCNCGCCUUCUUCCCGGG